UCUCUUAUUUACAUCAACUACAGAAUAGCUUCCAACCAAAUAGCAAUUUGUUUUCAUCAAAAGUGAAAAAUUGUAACCCCGUUACAAUUACGACAUAUGCUUCAAAGGAAUUACGGAGUAGUCCGCAAAGAAGAGAAAAUGGCCACUAACAAUUCUUUUUGCAACAAAAAACAAGAAAAAAAAACAUACAACAUUAUUUUCAGUCCAAUCUAGCAGCAUUGUAUCAAUGUCAUCGAAGAGCUCUACAUUUUUUCUACUUUGUACCAACAAGGAAUCCGCCCGACAAAGGGUAGCGCUUCAUCUUGGUCAUUGUGCUCUAGACAUCAUUCAAUAUCUUUGAUGUGUGCCGAGCUACAAUUUUUUGCUGCAAAAAUGUAUGUAUAACAGAAACAUCAUUCAAACAUAGUGAAGCAUGGUCAGGAGUGGUUAAGAAAAAUAAUUUAUCACAAGAAUCAUAUGUUGAAAUGGUUGAUGCAUACAGUUGUCAAUCGAAAUCGUUGAAGCAAAAUAAUUCAUCACAAACAAUGCGCAAAUAACCGCAGCCACUUGAGAUUGUUUGUGGUAGUCUACAACAGAAACAUAUGUGAGAAAUACGGAUACAUGAUUGACAACUGUAUGUAUCGAACCCAUGUACAAUGUACGAAAAACAAAAUGCGUGGAUAGUACUUUUAAUCUGAUCCGGCUUGAAUCUAUAUAACAUAGAAAAUUUUAACAUGCAAUUCAUGAACCAGAAAUUCCAGAACGGACACAUCUCUAAGAAGCAUCCUAAUAUACAUGAAUACAGGGAGGAGAACCCUUACCUGCUUGUGUUGUGGAUGGUGAUCGGAGCAGUUCCGCUGGAUAGGAAACCAUGAAUCUAUAAGGAUGAAAGAGGAAACAAUUGCCUAUGCAUGGACAAGGCGAGCUACAACAGUAGCUCCAUAGCCUGUUACUCUACCUCGCCUCCUCGUUCACCUCUCUCGUUGACAGGUUCUCCUCGAUUAAAUUUUGAAACGAUGGGAAUGAAGAAGUGAAAU
Molecule: long non-coding RNA, 1016 nt
Filed under: Hordeum vulgare
Lineage: Eukaryota; Viridiplantae; Streptophyta; Magnoliopsida; Poales; Poaceae
Description: long non-coding RNA (HVUL_LNC013005)
Source: RNAcentral